UCUAAGACUUCAGCCUUCCUGAGUUGGCAGC
RNAcentral lists this non-coding RNA (31 nucleotides) under Mus musculus (house mouse). The record is from RNAcentral. Lineage: Eukaryota; Metazoa; Chordata; Mammalia; Rodentia; Muridae.